Molecule: ribosomal RNA, 266 nt
Filed under: uncultured bacterium
Lineage: Bacteria
Description: partial 16S ribosomal RNA
Rfam family: Bacterial small subunit ribosomal RNA
Source: RNAcentral
GUCCACGCCGUAAACGAUGAUAACUAGCUGUCCGGGCACUUGGUGCUUGGGUGGCGCAGCUAACGCAUUAAGUUAUUCGCCUGGGGAGUACGGCCGCAAGGUUAAACUCAAAGAAAUUGACGGGGGCCUGCACAAGCGGUGGAGCAUGUGGUUUAAUUCGAAGCAACGCGCAGAACCUUACCAACGUUUGACAUCCCUAGUAUGGAUCGUGGAGACACUUUCCUUCAGUUCGGCUGGCUAGGUGACAGGUGCUGCAUGGCUGUCGU